This 425-nucleotide ribosomal RNA is filed under the name uncultured bacterium. RNAcentral's name for it is "bacterial SSU rRNA". It matches the Rfam family "Bacterial small subunit ribosomal RNA", at positions 354 to 796 of the family's 1533-position model. The record is from RNAcentral.
GUGGGGAAUAUUGGACAAUGGGCGCAAGCCUGAUCCAGCCAUGCCGCGUGAGUGAUGAAGGCCUUAGGGUUGUAAAGCUCUUUCGUCAGUGAAGAUAAUGACGGUACCUGAAGAAGAAGCCCCGGCUAACUUCGUGCCAGCAGCCGCGGUAAUACGAAGGGGGCUAGCGUUGCUCGGAAUCACUGGGCGUAAAGCGCACGUAGGCGGCUUUCUAAGUCAGGGGUGAAAUCCUGGAGCUCAACUCCAGAACUGCCUUUGAUACUGGAGAGCUUGAGUUCGGGAGAGGUGAGUGGAACUGCGAGUGUAGAGGUGAAAUUCGUAGAUAUUCGCAAGAACACCAGUGGCGAAGGCGGCUCACUGGCCCGAUACUGACGCUGAGGUGCGAAAGCGUGGGGAGCAAACAGGAUUAGAAACCCCAGUAGUCC